AUAUUUGAGGUAAAAUUAUUGAAAUAUUCUUCUAAAGGGGGUGCAAUGUAAAUAUCGAACUUUUUUUGUGGUAAAAUUAGCGAGAAAUUAAAGUUUCAAGCCGAAACUGCCUUAAUCCAUCCCUGACAACAAUCUGCAAUCACCAUAAUUAACAAGAAAUCUGUGAGCAUCUAUUCAUUGAAACUACCCCCAUAUAUUUCUCAAAAAACGGGACUGAAGACAAUAAGGAUAGAGACAUACCUCAACAUUCUCAAUAUGGAGUACACAAGCUGACCCUCCAUAUUAAAAUAAUGUAGAGAAUGUUAUGUCAACGGUUGCUGGGAAACGGUUGCUGGAAAACUGAUGUUGCAUUCACAUUAAUCAAUCGUAUUUCUUCAGAUGGAAAAUGUAAUAAUGACGUCAUAGUAUUGUAUGCGUCCUAGUGGAUCCUCCGGAUAAAAUAUCAAGGGACUGACUGACGGAUGGACGGACAGAGAUAAAACAAUAUGUCCCUGUUCUGCGAGAAGAACCUCCGAGUUAUGAUGGCAAUGUCUCCUACAAAUUGGAAAAAUCUACAACAAUAUCUGUUAAACUGGCUGGAUCAUAUACUUUGAAUGUUAAAAAAUUUAAUGUCUCUUCUAAUACUAAAAUACAUUAAAGGCAAC
Molecule: long non-coding RNA, 644 nt
Filed under: Mytilus galloprovincialis (Mediterranean mussel)
Lineage: Eukaryota; Metazoa; Mollusca; Bivalvia; Mytilida; Mytilidae
Source: RNAcentral